GUUUGAUCCUGGCUCAGAGCGAACGCUGGCGGCAGGCUUAACACAUGCAAGUCGAGCGGGCGUAGCAAUACGUCAGCGCGUCGACGGGUGAGUAACGCGUGGGAACAUACCUUUUGGUUCCGAACAACACAGGGAAACUUGUGCUAAUACCGGAUAAGCCCUUACGGGGAAAGAUUUAUCGCCGAUCGAUUGGCCCGCGUCUGAUUAGCAAUUUGGUGAGGUAACGGCUCACCAAGGCGACGAUCAUUAGCUGGUCUGAGAGGAUGAUCAGCCACAUUGGGACUGAGACACGGCCCAAACUCCUACGGGAGGCAGCAGUGGGGAAUAUUGGACAAUGGGCGCAAGCCUGAUCCAGCCAUGCCGCGUGAGUGAUGAAUGCCCUAAGGUUGUAAAGCUCUUUUGUGCAGGAAGAUAAUGACGGUACCGCAAGAAUAAGCCCCGGCUAACUUCUUGCCGGCCGCCGCGGUAAUACGAAGGGGGCUAGCGUUGCUCGGAAUCACUGGGUGUAAAGGGUGCGUAGGCUGGUCUUUAAGUCAGGGGUGAAAUCCUGGAGCUCAACUCCAGAACUGCCUUUGAUACUGAGGAUCUUGAGUUCGGGAGAGGUGAGUGGAACUG
Molecule: ribosomal RNA, 615 nt
Filed under: uncultured Alphaproteobacteria bacterium
Lineage: Bacteria; Pseudomonadati; Pseudomonadota; Alphaproteobacteria
Description: bacterial SSU rRNA
Rfam family: Bacterial small subunit ribosomal RNA
Source: RNAcentral